Molecule: long non-coding RNA, 1491 nt
Organism: Puntigrus tetrazona (Sumatra barb)
Lineage: Eukaryota; Metazoa; Chordata; Actinopteri; Cypriniformes; Cyprinidae
Exons: 5
Source: RefSeq, a predicted model, not a curated record
CUUUACUUUUCAAGACUCGCGCGACGCACCUGAACCAGAAUACCGCAUUGCCCUACACGUUUAAAACAACAUAAGGGUUGAGUGGACAUGCUGUGGGAGACAGGUAGCAAGUAGUAAGCCCAGAAGUAAACAGCCAUGUUGCCAGUUAUGAUGACAAACAUUGUCUUGCAGUAAGAAGGAAGAGAGCGGGCCGUGCCUGGAGGUGUCAAUGCCGAGAUGAAGGUUCAGUGAGGAGGAACAGUAGACAGGAAGUGGGGAUUUUGAAAAGCCACAGAGAAGCAUCAGUCUUGGAGCUGCACAAGCACAAUGACAGCUUGCAGGGAGAAAGUCCUCCAUUGAUCCAGACGGUGCAAUAUUCCCCACAGCCCAGUUCAGUCGCACCCAAAAAGAGAGAAAGAAUAUGGACGAGUAUCAAACAGGCUGCCGCAAGCAACAAUAAGCCCCAAAUUCCCUGCGGGAAGACUAUGAACUCUCGUUAUUGUUGUAUAUGUCAGCCUACACAUGCCUGCCGUUUGUUUCCGAUGGAGAGCAACAGGAAAGUGCCAGCAAAGAUCAGCAGCUAACGCUCAAAGGAAUGAGUGAAUGAACGCACUUCCCCAGGCUGGAAAACAGCAGUUGUCUCUGAAUCUGCACGACUGAACGCUAAACAGGUCAACGAAGUAACUGCAGUGAGUCCUGUCAGGUAAAAUGUGUUUAAAAAGACACAGCACUUUGCUUUGCCGGUCUUCUGGCAUCCAUCAUGGAACUACAGUAACUCAGUAACUACAGCAAUGAAGACUACAAUAAGACAGAUUGCUGAUCUUUAGCAGAGAUGACUGGAGUACAAGGCAGGAUUAUUUCCUUUUCUCCUGUGUUGUAAAUGUAAGUCUUUUGUGAAUUAUUUUUGCUGUCUCUCGUAGGCACUUAGUGAUUAAUGUGUGUUUAGUGAUCAGAACAGAAACCAUACUGUACAGAGGCUUUUCCAAGAUAGAUUGUUUACCACAUUUAAUGAAUUUAUGUAUGCAGGUGUGAUUUUAGUUUUCCUUGUUUUUAUGCAUAUGAUAUAGUUGGAAAGUUCAGUAAGGGUUUGUAAGAUACUUGAUACUUUUAAGGAUGUAUUUCAUCAAUCAAACGUGACCGUGAAGACAUUUAUAAUGACUAAUAAGCGUACACACAUUAUAAUAUUAUUUUUUAUUAGUGCUGUGGCUGCUGUGGCAUCCAAAAUCCCAAAGGUUUUAGUUUACUUAAUAUAAAAGUUGUCAUGCCCCUGGACUGUGGUUGUGUUGUGUUUUCAUUCCCCAUGUGCUCUCUGUGCAUGUGUGACCUAGCUUCUGUCUUGUGUUAAUCAGUUCAAAUGUUCAGGUGUGUCUCAUUCAAUUGAGUCAUUGUCUCCACUUUUAUAAGUUGAUUUCUGUUCAUUGUAAGUUGUCCGGUAUUGUUUGUCGAUGUUUCUAUGCGGUUGCUACCCUGCUUGUAAGCUUACCUCUCUGUGGAUUAUUAUCCGUGCGUUCC